UUUUAGUUGUUGGAUACCAUGCUCGACUCUUCGUCUUAUUUAAAAAUUUUUUCGAUUAAUAUUUGUAUUGUUAGUAGAAGAUAAAACAUGAAUAGUAGCUUAUGCGUGACUAAUUUUUUUAAGUUUUUAACAAAAUUUUGAAAUAAGACUAAUGGUCAAACGUUGAGCACUAAAAUC
RNAcentral lists this microRNA precursor (177 nucleotides) under Oryza brachyantha (malo sina). Its description in RNAcentral is "MIR812 microRNA precursor family". It matches the Rfam family "MIR812 microRNA precursor family". Lineage: Eukaryota; Viridiplantae; Streptophyta; Magnoliopsida; Poales; Poaceae. The record is from Rfam by way of RNAcentral.